RNAcentral lists this ribosomal RNA (505 nucleotides) under uncultured bacterium. Its description in RNAcentral is "partial 16S ribosomal RNA". It matches the Rfam family "Bacterial small subunit ribosomal RNA", at positions 28 to 507 of the family's 1533-position model. The record is from RNAcentral.
GACGAACGCUGGCGGCGUGCCUAAUACAUGCCAGUAGAACGCACAGUUUAUACCGUAGCUUGCUACACCAUACACUGUGAGUUGCGAACGGGUGAGUAACGCGUAGGUAACCUGCCUGGUAGCGGGGGAUAACUAUUGGAAACGAUAGCUAAUACCGCAUAAUAUUGAUUAUUGCAUGAUAAUUGAUUGAAAGAUGCUAUUGCAUCACUACCAGAUGGACCUGCGUUGUAUUAGCUAGUAGGUGAGGUAACGGCUCACCUAGGCGACGAUACAUAGCCGACCUGAGAGGGUGAUCGGCCACACUGGGACUGAGACACGGCCCAGACUCCUACGGGAGGCAGCAGUAGGGAAUCUUCGGCAAUGGACGAAAGUCUGACCGAGCAACGCCGCGUGAGUGAAGAAGGUUGUCGGAUCGUAAAGCUCUGUUGUAAGAGAAGAACGGGUGUGAGAGUGGAAAGUUCACACUGUGACGGUAGCUUACCAGAAAGGGACGGCUAACUACGUG